AUCCUCAUAAACCAUAUGAACAACAUGACCGACCACCUUGCCACAAACACUGUCUAACAAUUUGUUAAGCCUCCUCCUUCUCUCCUCAUUAUAUUUUGCCACGUGUAAUCAGAUUCAAGAGUUUGACAUGGGGUUUGCUUCCAAUGCUUGUUCUUUCUGAAAUCUCCGUCCAUUUGCUCCAAAAUUUGAACCCCUAACGUUAUGGGAAGGUCAACGUUUGAGGCGGUCGUCUCUGUUUUCGUCACGGUUCACCCGCACGAGACCUCUGCUCUGCUCCAUUCCUUCUUCUGCUUCUUUUUCGUUUUGAGUGCCUAUUUCGUGGUUCUUCCGUUGCGGGACGAGGGCGCCAUCUCGUUGGGGUUAUCGAACCUGCCAGGUCUAUUCGUGGGGUCUCUGUUGCUCACCCUCAUUGCUGCGCCCUUUUCUUCUCUCAUAUUCUCUCUGCCUAACCUUUCCAAAGGCAAGGCUUUGUUUUUGAUACACAGGUUCUUUAGUGUAUCCCUCAUUUUGUUCUUUAUUCUAUGGCACUCCUCAUCCGCCGGAUAUUCAAAGUCCAAUUUUACAGGAUCCAUGCCCUUGACCUAUCCCUCAAAGGAAGAAAGGAAAAUUGGUGACCAAGGCAGUCUUACCUCUUCAUUUGGUUGGGAUAACCAUGGAUGGUUCUAUAUCUCUGUUCGUAUAGGAUUGUUUCUUUGGGUUGCUUUGCUUAAUCUAAUUACAAUUUCUUCAACUUGGGCAAGGGUAAUUGAUGUGAUGGACAGUGAGUCAGGUUCAAGAUUAUUCGGGUUUAUUGGUGCUGGUGCCACCCUUGGACAACUUUUUGGGUCAUUGUUUGCCAUUGGGAUGGCUUUUGUUGGCCCAUUCUUGCUUUUGUUUGCUGCAUUAUUGAUGGAACUUGCAGCGCAGACAUCAAGAGGGAUAAAUUGUGGUACAUCUCAUGCAGAAGAAGAAAAAUUGUCUCCCAUUAGAAAAUCUGAUUCCAAUCAUGAAAACAAGACUGAUGAGAUUCAAAAGACAGAACAUACUCCAAGAGGUUCUCCAAAUUCAUCUACUUCAGGGAAGCUUCCAAUUUGGCCCAUAUUUGAAGGACUCUGGCUUAUAUUGUCAUCAACGUACCUGCUACAUGUAUCAUUGUUCAUCUGGCUGAGUGCAGUUGUCUCUUCAUUCUUCUAUUUUCAGAAAGUGAGUGUGAUUGCUACCACAGUUACCAGCUCUACAGGAAGAAGAAAGUUGUUUGCCCAGAUAAAUAGCUUUAUUGCUGUUUUCAUUCUUGGUGGACAGCUAUCCUUGACGGGACGCAUUCUUACUAUUGCUGGGGUGACUACAGCUAUAUGUGCAACACCGUUUGUUGGCUUCGUAAAUUUAGUUACUCUGGCUGUCUGGCCAAAUUGGGUUGCGGUUGCCAUUUGUGAGACAUUGAGAAAGGAUAGGAUCAUAUCAUCUGGGCAAUGAUCAACUGCACUGAAAUCGCCUCCUUCUCCUCUUUCGAGAUCUAUGCUUGUUGCCUUGAUUGGAGGUGUUUUAGGGUUUCUCUCUCUCUUCUUCCAUGGUGUCUUCCGAUAUCUCUUCUGCAACUAGUGUGUCUAGCCCAUCAGUCUUUACUAACUUUGUUAAUGUGCACUUGCCCAUUGAUAAGUUAGAUAUCACUAAUUAUGCGACUUAGGCAUAUUGUUCCACCCACUAUUCGACCAUCCAUUAAUGUUUACUUCUAUACUCAAGAUGUAUAUACCUCCGUGUAAGGAAGGUUUGUUGGAAUUCCCACAUUGACUAGAUCAUGCCAAUUUAUAAUAUAUAAGUGUAUAAAAAUUCACCUUACAAGCUAGUUUUGUAGGGUUGUGUUAGGCUUAAAGUCCACUUUUUAACAAUUAUCAAUCAAGGAUCAUGUUAAGGGUUGGAAGGUAUAUGAGAGAAAAAGGUAUAGGACGGAAGAAGAAGACCGAACGGUGGAAGGAGGAAGAUCAAGCCGAAUGGGGGAAAGAGGGGAAAGGACUGACCGAACGGGGGAAGGAGGAAGACCAGAGCCGAUCGGUUGAAGAGCAGGACCCAAAUAAAAUAUCUGGGGCAUUUGAUCUCAGAAACGGGGGUGGAGAUGGACCAAGACAAAGUGAAGGCAGUGAUGGAUUGGGAAAGACCCAAGACACUAAAAGCCUUAAGGGGGUUUCUGGGCCUGACGAGGUACUACAGGCGUUUCGUGAAGGAUUAUGGGAAGAUCGCCAAACCAUUAACCGAACGGCUUAAGAAGGGGCAGUUCACAUGGACCGAGCAAGCUGAUGUGGCCAUGUCUAGAUUAAAGGAGGUCGUGACUACUGCACCAGUGUUGAUUCUACCUAACUUUAACCAACCUUUCCAUAUUGAGUGUGAUGCUUCGGGAGGAGUAGGAGUUGUUCUAACUCAAGGAAAGAGAUCGAUUGCUUUGUUCAGCAAAGUACUGUCGGAGUGAUCACUGAAUAAAUCGGUAUAUGAAAAGGAACUCAUGGCUCUGGUUAUGGCCAUACAAUACUGGAGACCCUAUCUCUUGGGCCAAAGAUUUGUAGUUCACAAGGACCAAAGGAGCCUCCGAUACCUAUUGGAGCAACACAUCACUCAAAACCAGCAUAAUUGGAUCGCAAAGCUCCUGGGGUAUGAUUUUGAAAUUGUGUAUAAGACACGGGCUACCAACAGUUGUAGAUGCUUUAUCUCGAAAAAGGAAGGAAGGUAUGGAGGACGAGAAGGAAUUGAGGGUGGUGGCCAGGCCUUAUUGGCAAGACUUUGAGGAGAUUCUAAAGGAGGUUGAGGCAGAUGAAGCAUUGAAGAAGGUAAUGGAAGAUCUCGAGAAGGACCCCAACUCACACCCGACUUUUACCAUGGAGCAAGGCAAACUGCACUACAAGGGGAGACUGGUGAUCUCGGCUCAAUCCACCUGGGUCCCUAAGCUAAUAGUUGAAUUUCACAUGACUCAGACGGGGGGCAUUCAGGGGUAUACCGGACGUACCGCAAGAUAGCUCAAUCACUUUACUGGAUAGGGAUGAAGAAAGCAGUAAUUGAUUUUGUUGCAAGAUGCCUGGUGUGCCAACAACAUAAGUACCUGUCAUCUUCUCCACUUGGGUUGCUACAACCCUUGCCCAUACCGAACGCUAUUUGGGAGGAAGUAAGCAUGGAUUUUAUAGUAAAGUUGCCCAAAUCCCAAGGGUAUGAUGCUGUUUUGGUAGUGGUGGAUCGUCUCAGUAAAUUCCAAACAUCCAACCAAUAGGCACCCACCACAUUUGGAAGAUCAUUAGGACCCAAAGAAAUAAUUUUUAUUUUAGACAUGACUUGGAAUGCAAUCAGUAUCUCUGAUGACCCUAUCUGAGACGAGACGACGUGUGGGCUACACUGGGAAAAAGGAGUAGAACUUGAAACUCAGAUAUGCUCAAAUCUGAGUCAAAUGGGACGUCACCGACCAAUGGAAUAGACUCAAAAGGCUCCAACGACCCUUUUUGUGAUGGCAGCGGCUAGUGGGUCUUGUCAUAGCUAGGCGCACCUUUCUACCCUAACAAUGACCCCAAUUGUCUACUAUGACAGCCGCAGUGGUCGGGCAACAACGACAGUUGCAAUGGCCGGACAACGGUGACGGUGCUACUAUUGCAGCAGAAACGGAGUUCCCAAGGUUGGGAGCUCUGAUACCAUCUUGAAAAGAGAAUAACUUUUAUUAUUUAUGUUCAUGUCUAUUGCAUUCUCCUCCUUCCUCUGAAACAAUCUAAUCUUCUAAAACAGGGAAAUAAGGAAACAAUAUACUGAAAAAUACUCUAGAAGUCCUACAAAUAUUUUCUCUAAUUAGGAAGAUUCUAUAGAUAUCUUCUCUAUAAGAAAUUCUAUAGAUAUUUCCUCUAAUUACAACAUAUAGAUAAGGUAAUAUAUUUAUAAUGAAGAGUUAUACAAGUAUAUAUGACAACUAAACAUAAAUAUGGUAAAUAGAAGAUAUUGUUCAAAACAAUAUCAACAAUAUCUACCAAUAUCAAAAGUCUAUGUUUCCCUAAACAAUAUCUACCAAUACCAAUCUCAAUGAAUUCAAAAUUCAAAUAUUGACUAUCAAAAGCUUUAGGCUCUAGAUACCAUGUUGAAUAUAGUGAAAAAUAUAUAUGGGAUUAAUCUCCCUACAUGUCUAAAACACACUUAGUGAAAAAUAUGUAUGGUAAUAUAUUUAUAAUGAAGAAUUAUACAAGUAUAUAUAAAAACUAAACAUAAAUAUGGUAAAUAGAAGAUAUUGUUAAAAGCAAUAUCUACCAAUAUCAAACAAUAUCAAAAGUCUACAUUUCCUUAAUUAACAUAAAACGUAAUAUAUCUAACAUCUAUGUUUCUCUAAUUAACAUAAUACGUAAUAUAUCUAUCAUUUCCCAUAGUACUGGUAGUGUUUUGAAGCCUGCUCCACAACCUAGCUGCAGAGGGACAUCCUAAUUUCCGAGGCAUCAUAGCAAUCAGGAGAAAAUGAUAUCACACUAACUCCAAGUUUCCUAGAUGGAUCAUUCUUACGUAACAUCAUGAAAAAGUCUCCGAAGAGUAAAGGUUUGGAAGGAGUAAUGUCUUUGUUCCAGAUUCUGUUUCCCUAUGGCACAAUUGGUUUAGUCUAGUGAAUAUUUUGAUAACAUCCUUGAUAGAUAAAUCACCAUUUUUAGUAAACCUCCAUCUAACACUGUCGUGCUUAUCAAGCAUCCAUAGGAAUAAUAGCAUGCCUGAUUUGAUGUUGAAUGUCGUGGCAUGAAGGAAGAGUCAGGGAGCCCUGUGUCAGUUCACAGAAAUUAGUUAAUCUGCCGUUUGCCAGACAGUGCUUUCCUUGACCGGGUGGAUAAAAGGUUGUUACAUAUGUUGUGACAAGGCCAGGAAGAGAACUUUUAUUUACCGUUGUUUCGGAGGAUGAGAAGUAUAAAGCCAAAGUAUGCAUAGAUGUCCUGGUUCAAAGACUUGGAGAUGCUGCAGCAGCUGGAAUGUAC
Vigna angularis (adzuki bean) is the source of this 4946-nucleotide RNA transcript. RefSeq lists it as uncharacterized. The transcript has 14 exons. Lineage: Eukaryota; Viridiplantae; Streptophyta; Magnoliopsida; Fabales; Fabaceae. The record is from RefSeq and is a predicted model, not a curated record.